AUACGGAGGGGGCUAGCGUUGUUCGGAAUUACUGGGCGUAAAGCGCACGUAGGCGGUUUAUCAAGUUAGGCGUGAAAGCCCUGGGCUCAACCCAGGAACUGCGUUUAAUACUGAUAAGCUAGAGACCGGGAGAGGGUGGCGGAAUUCCCAGUGUAGAGGUGAAAUUCGUAGAUAUUGGGAAGAACACCGGUUGCGAAGGCGGCCACCUGGACCGGAACUGACGCUGAGGUGCGAAAGCGUGGGGAGCAAACAGGAUUAGAUACCCCAGUAGUCC
This 274-nucleotide ribosomal RNA is filed under the name uncultured bacterium. RNAcentral describes it as "partial 16S ribosomal RNA". It matches the Rfam family "Bacterial small subunit ribosomal RNA", at positions 523 to 796 of the family's 1533-position model. The record is from RNAcentral.